GUUCUUGCAAUGAAAGACACUGGGGUCACCAGUGCAGCCUCCUGCAGUGCCAGCAUUGAUUUUAGACCAGUGGCCCAGGCCUUUGUCCAGGCUCUGGAUCUAGUCCUCCCUGGCUGAUACCAGACAUUUUUCUAUUACCCAUCAUUCAUUGCACUCUAGAGGCACUGUCUGGAAGAAGCUAUUUGGGGUAAAAUUAGGACUUUAAGGCCACAAUAUCAGGAACUCAGCUAAAGGAAGUGAAAUAUGGUCUUCAACAAGGGUCUAAUAAAAGCUAGGAUAUUUGAGGCUCCCUUUGUUGAUAACUGGGUAAUUCAGGGAGACAUCAUGAACACUGCAAGUUUGAACUCACUUUUGACAGCUUUGUAGGAAUGUGUCACUAAUGUUCCUUGCUCUGUCUGCAUCCUCUGGGAACACUUUUUUUGAUGACUUCAUUAAAGUAUGCCAAAAUCUG
This is a long non-coding RNA of Melospiza melodia melodia, 451 nucleotides long. RefSeq lists it as uncharacterized. The transcript has 2 exons. Lineage: Eukaryota; Metazoa; Chordata; Aves; Passeriformes; Passerellidae. The record is from RefSeq and is a predicted model, not a curated record.